GACGAACGCUGGCGGCGUGCUUAACACAUGCAAGUCGAACGGAAAGGCCCUGCUUUUGUGGGGUGCUCGAGUGGCGAACGGGUGAGUAACACGUGAGUAACCUGCCCUUGACUUUGGGAUAACUUCAGGAAACUGGGGCUAAUACCGGAUAGGAGCUCCUGCUGCAUGGUGGGGGUUGGAAAGUUUCGGCGGUUGGGGCUGGACUCGCGGCUUAUCAGCUUGUUGGUGGGGUAGUGGCUUACCAAGGCUUUGACGGGUAGCCGGCCUGAGAGGGUGACCGGCGACAUGGGGACUGAGAUACGGCCCAGACUCCUACGGGAGGCAGCAGUGGGGAAUAUUGCACAAUGGGCGGAAGCCUGAUGCAGCAACGCCGCGUGCGGGAUGACGGCCUUCGGGUUGUAAACCGCUUUCGCCUGUGACGAAGCGUGAGUGACGGUAAUGGGUAAAGAAGCACCGGCUAACUACGUG
Molecule: ribosomal RNA, 468 nt
Filed under: uncultured bacterium
Lineage: Bacteria
Description: partial 16S ribosomal RNA
Rfam family: Bacterial small subunit ribosomal RNA
Source: RNAcentral